This 802-nucleotide long non-coding RNA is filed under the name Rosa chinensis. RNAcentral's name for it is "sRNA RchiOBHm_Chr2g0173691". The record is from RNAcentral. Lineage: Eukaryota; Viridiplantae; Streptophyta; Magnoliopsida; Rosales; Rosaceae.
UACCGCGCCAACACGUGUCCCUAAACCCACAACGUCACCAUCCCUCUUCCCAAUGGGUCAAGUAGUCUCACUGUCUCAGUCUCUCUCCCCUCCCUCUCUGUGCCACUGCCUCUGUCUCAGUCCCAGUCCCUCUCCACCCACCCGGCGCGAAAUUACCUUCCUGCCCUUCUCCCUAGAGAGCUGUGUGUGAGAAAGAAAGAGAGAGAGAGAGAGAGAGAGACUUUAGAGGAAGAAAGAGAAAUGUGCCACCACAACAAGAACAGUCCACCUCCGAAUCAUCAUCACGUGAAAUUUCAAACCAGGUCGAUUUCUAUGAUGAAGAUGAUCAAGGAGGAGGAGGAAGAAGAAAUCAAGCCGGUAAAGAGAGCUUCACUGAAACCGAAGCGAUCGGCGGCGGCGGCGCGGAAAUCGAGGAGCCGGAGAAGAAAGCCGAAGUACUUGAGCCUCCGCUCGCCGCGGCUCUCCGCCCGAAACGACGUCGUCGCCGCCUCCUCCGCCGAUACGGAUUCCAAGAUGACUGCUACUACUACUACUACUACGGCGGUGACGCGCCGCGGCCACCAGCUUAAUUUGUUUCCGCUGCAUCCGGAGCUGAACGCGGCGGAGGCGGAUCACCAGUCCGACGACAACGUGGCUCUGCUGUUCGAAUCCGACGGCGGAGCCACUCUCCACGGGCUGCUCACCUCCGCCGACACGGCCACCACGACGACGACGUCGACAAUGUCGUCCGAUCACGACCAGGCCGAGUCCAGUUACGGCUACCGCCGCGGAAUGGAACGCGGCGACGAUAUCGUACGGUCGG